GCGUGGGGCGGUGGGAUUCUUCCCACCCGAGAGCUCAGAGAGGGUGCGUCGGGCCAGCUUCACGCCUGCCCCCGCAUUUGAAGGACGCAGAGCUGGGGUGGGGGUGGGGGGCGCACACGGAUUUGUCCUCCGCCUCGCUCAAGGGGGCGACCUGGGCUGCAGUUAGGUUGUCGCCUGCAGGAGGUGUGCUGUUGAGGGAGAGGAAAACCGUCCGAGGAGAGGCCAGGAGGAAUGUGGUGGUGGAGGUGGAGGAUUGUGGUAUGUGGUCAGGAGUGAGAAGAAAUAGUAAGGCCGUCCCGGUGAGGGAGAAAUGUAACCUAAAACCUGUCUCUGCUGUUGUUGGAUUGGGUCACCCCUGGUCUAUGGCAUGAAAGUUUUAUUGGGAGGAGAUCUGCUGCAAGAGUCUGAUUGCUUGGGUCAGUGCAACAGGACAGAAUCUAGUCGCUGCAUACCUCCUUCCCUGUCCUCAAUCAGGAUCAAGUCUUCCAUACCAGGGACCAGGCCAAAACCAGACUGCCACUGCCCCUACUUGGGCCCCACUGUCCCCAGAAAGCAGCUGCUGUGAUCAU
This 569-nucleotide long non-coding RNA is filed under the name Homo sapiens (human). RNAcentral describes it as "non-protein coding lnc-WNT10B-1:3". The record is from RNAcentral. Lineage: Eukaryota; Metazoa; Chordata; Mammalia; Primates; Hominidae.